RNAcentral lists this unclassified non-coding RNA (542 nucleotides) under Phoma herbarum. RNAcentral's name for it is "sequence contains ITS1, 5.8S rRNA gene, ITS2". The stretch from base 180 to 333 matches the Rfam family "5.8S ribosomal RNA". The record is from RNAcentral. Lineage: Eukaryota; Fungi; Ascomycota; Dothideomycetes; Pleosporales; Didymellaceae.
UAACAAGGUUUCCGUAGGUGAACCUGCGGAAGGAUCAUUACCUAGAGUUUGUGGGCUUUGCCUGCUAUCUCUUACCCAUGUCUUUUGAGUACUUACGUUUCCUCGGUGGGUUCGCCCGCCGAUUGGACAAUUUAAACCCUUUGCAGUUGCAAUCAGCGUCUGAAAAACAUAAUAGUUACAACUUUCAACAACGGAUCUCUUGGUUCUGGCAUCGAUGAAGAACGCAGCGAAAUGCGAUAAGUAGUGUGAAUUGCAGAAUUCAGUGAAUCAUCGAAUCUUUGAACGCACAUUGCGCCCCUUGGUAUUCCAUGGGGCAUGCCUGUUCGAGCGUCAUUUGUACCUUCAAGCAUUGCUUGGUGUUGGGUGUUUGUCUCGCCUUUGCGUGUAGACUCGCCUUAAAACAAUUGGCAGCCGGCGUAUUGAUUUCGGAGCGCAGUACAUCUCGCGCUUUGCACUCAUAACGACGACGUCCAAAAGUACAUUUUAACACUCUUGACCUCGGAUCAGGUAGGGAUACCCGCUGAACUUAAGCAUAUCAAUAA